RNAcentral lists this ribosomal RNA (606 nucleotides) under Triticum aestivum (bread wheat). RNAcentral describes it as "partial small subunit ribosomal RNA". The record is from RNAcentral. Lineage: Eukaryota; Viridiplantae; Streptophyta; Magnoliopsida; Poales; Poaceae.
AUGGCGACGAUCCAAAGCAAAUCGACAGCACCGCAAUCUGUUACUGCAAGCAGGCUUCCUCCCAAGAAGGAGGAGCAAGAGCUCCGGCGAGCCUACUCGGAAAUGGCGAGCAACAUGGAGAAGCUUGUCGUCGCAAGCAGCAGCAGCAGCAACCCAUGCCCUGACGACGGCGCCCACGUGUCGGAGGUGGAGACGGUGCGGUGCGCGUGCUGCGCCGUGGCCGAGGAAUGCACGGCGGCGUACGUCGGCGGGGUCCGCGCGGCCUUCUGCGGCGACUGGCUGUGCGGGCUAUGCGGGGAGGCCGUGAAGGAGCGGAUGGAGCGGGACCCGUCCGGCGGCGUGGAGGCGGCGCUGGUGUCCCACGAGGCCGAGUGCCGGGACUUCAACGUCACGAGGUUGAACCCGACGCUGUCGCUCGCCGGAUCCAUGCGGGGCAUCGCACGCAAGAGCUUCGACCGGAGAAAGACGACGACGUCGACGUCGUGCCAGGACCGCCACCUGCGCACGGCGGCGUCCAGGGCGGUGGCGCUCGCGAGGUCGGUCAGCUGCGACCCGCGGUUCCUGGCGGACGUGAUCAACGGGCCGUCCGGAGAGCAGUCCCGAUGA